GCCCGGGUGGCGGAAGUGGUAGACGCAGUGGGCUUAAACCCCGCGGCCCUUCGGGGCGUACAGGUUCGAUUCCUGUCCCGGGCACCG
This 87-nucleotide transfer RNA is filed under the name Acidimicrobiaceae bacterium. RNAcentral's name for it is "tRNA-Leu". It matches the Rfam family "tRNA". From Rfam's summary of the family: Transfer RNA (tRNA) molecules are approximately 80 nucleotides in length. Lineage: Bacteria; Bacillati; Actinomycetota; Acidimicrobiia; Acidimicrobiales; Acidimicrobiaceae. The record is from RNAcentral.